UUCAACCUAACCGCCUGUCCGUGACUCACCCCUCCAGGCGAUGACCGUGUCUUUCUUCUUCUCGGCCGGCGGCGCGGCCGAUGUGGUCAUGCACGCAGGACAGGAAGCACGGCGACCUGCGUCUGUGCGGAGGCGAAACUCAGGCCGCGGUGGCGCGCCGUCCCGUUGCCAUUUUCCAUGUCCUCGCCAUCACCGUGUGCCCAUGCGCUGCCGAUCUUGACUUCGAUCCCCCCUUACCCGUCGACGCCUCCAGCUCGCGACCUCCCAGGCCGCCGGAGCCCUGCAGGCCUGUGUCACCUCGCCACUAUCUCGACCUUGUGUUCGCCUACACCGUCAGUGCCUUGCCCUCAAGCGCCACUAGAGCCCUUGGCCCCGCGUCUUUGUACGUGGCGAGGUGCAGCCUUGGCUAGGCUGGAGCCAAAGCCGGCAAUGGCUACUACAACGGCAUCGACUUCUUAGCUGCCAAACUGGGUGAACUGCCAAGCGUUGGAGCUUUUUCUUCUGCGUGUUAUGGCACUGAGAUUUGUACCGGGACUUGUGGCAUAUGAGAAGAGAUGCUAAGGAGAGAGAACUCAAUGCAUUGCUUGCUUCAUCAGAGGUGCAAGAAGGAGCCGGAGGCUUUGAGAGCAUGCUAUCAUGGUUAUGAACAUGUAUGGAUUAGCAACUGGGAGUCUGGGAUACAGUCACUGUAGUAAGAAAUGCCUGGUGAACUGAAUCAAGAAUGGCCUAAUUGUACCUUGCCUUUUCUGUCACUGGCAAGGACGAUCUGCUGGGCGACGUCAGGCCGUGUGGCACGCCGGUCAAGGAGUUCACCUUCGCCGCCGCGCUCAUAGCAUUUGGAAUGCUCAAUGUUGUCACCCCGUCUUCAUAGCCGUUGUCUGUCCACCGUGUCGGCGGUACAAAUUGGCAUUCGAAUGGUUCAAUUUUAGUGCAACUUGUACGCCCAUGUUUCCUGUGGUCCAUGGCAACCUAUGUACUGAAGUCCAUUUCGACAAAGAACAAAGGUAGAAUGGCAUAUUUAUCCUAGAAACUAGGGAGUUUCAAACCGUUUCGGGUAAUAUGAGGUUGUGCCACUAUUUUUAUGUUGUAUUAAUCCGGGGGAUUUCAUACCUCAAGCCCCAGAUAGAAGGGUCUAGGCUGGGCAUUUUUGUUGCUGUUGAUGCAAUAGAUCUUUGAGGGAAAAGCAUGUGACGAUUGACAAUAAAGCGAAGAACUGAUGCGGUGGAUGAGAAGUCCAAUUUUGUAGGUAUUGAAUACAAAUUGUUAUAAAAAGGAAAUAGAAUGUUAUUUGGCCCAACUGGACUAUCCAGUGGUUUUCUGUGUCAUGUUCAUCUUCACAUGUAUCUUAUAAUUAUUGUAUCUAGAGAUGUUGAACUUUUCAAUGAUGAGAGUCUCGUGUAGAAAGGCACCAAUAUUGUUUUGUUAAAAUACUGUUUAGUCCCGAAGUUCAGACAA
Non-coding RNA from Aegilops tauschii subsp. strangulata, 1455 nucleotides. The record is from RefSeq and is a predicted model, not a curated record. NCBI's taxonomy places the organism in Eukaryota, Viridiplantae, Streptophyta, Magnoliopsida, Poales, Poaceae.